This is a long non-coding RNA of Neopelma chrysocephalum (saffron-crested tyrant-manakin), 502 nucleotides long. RefSeq lists it as uncharacterized. The record is from RefSeq and is a predicted model, not a curated record. The transcript is spliced from 4 exons. NCBI's taxonomy places the organism in Eukaryota, Metazoa, Chordata, Aves, Passeriformes, Pipridae.
UCCUCACGGCAUGUGCCCUUCUCAAAGGUGUGUCUUCAAGGAGGCAAAAAGAUGGCAAGUUUUCUGAGCUCAUUUUUGUCUUAGAUGGGAACCAUGAAGUCCUGGGAAAAGACAAGGCAUGAAGAAUAGAGUAGGUCUUUGACUCCAGGCACAAAGAAUUUGCAGGAUUACAUUUUCUAGGAAGGCUUGUUUUUUUCCUCAGCUGAAGAAUCUACAUCCCCAAAGAACUGAUUUGGAAACUGUCCACUAGUUGUGAUCCAGACAUGCAGAUGAGCUGUUUAGGAGGUGGACAUGAUUUUAAUUCACACAUCUCCCUUUAUCAGGUCCUACCUACCCUCCUUACCUAACUGGUAGAAGGACAAGCUUCAGUCUUCUGGGACAUCCUCCUUACAGGAUCUUAAGAGGUUCCCUGUGAGUCUGCUGAUUUUAGGAUUUUCUUUUUCCAAAAGUCAAGGGACAGCCAUCUGUUAUUGGACACACUUUUGUGAUUCUAUUAAGAAGC